AGUGAACGCUGGCGGUAGGCCUAACACAUGCAAGUCGAACGGCAGCACAGUAAGAGCUUGCUCUUACGGGUGGCGAGUGGCGGACGGGUGAGGAAUACAUCGGAAUCUACUUUUUCGUGGGGGAUAACGUAGGGAAACUUACGCUAAUACCGCAUACGACCUACGGGUGAAGGCAGGGGAUCUUCGGACCUUGCGCGAUUGAAUGAGCCGAUGUCGGAUUAGCUAGUUGGCGGGGUAAAGGCCCACCAAGGCGACGAUCCGUAGCUGGUCUGAGAGGAUGAUCAGCCACCCUGGAACUGAGACACGGUCCAGACUCCUACGGGAGGCAGCAGUGGGGAAUAUUGGACAAUGGGCGCAAGCCUGAUCCAGCCAUACCGCGUGGGUGAAGAAGGCCUUCGGGUUGUAAAGCCCUUUUGUUGGGAAAGAAAAGCAGCAGGUUAAUACCCCGCUGUUCUGACGGUACCCAAAGAAUAAGCACCGGCUAACUUCGUG
Molecule: ribosomal RNA, 492 nt
Filed under: uncultured bacterium
Lineage: Bacteria
Description: partial 16S ribosomal RNA
Rfam family: Bacterial small subunit ribosomal RNA
Source: RNAcentral